RNAcentral lists this ribosomal RNA (765 nucleotides) under Pseudomonas sp. S48. RNAcentral's name for it is "bacterial SSU rRNA". It matches the Rfam family "Bacterial small subunit ribosomal RNA", at positions 127 to 873 of the family's 1533-position model. The record is from RNAcentral. Lineage: Bacteria; Pseudomonadati; Pseudomonadota; Gammaproteobacteria; Pseudomonadales; Pseudomonadaceae.
UGCCUGGUUGUGGGGGACAACGUUUGGAAAGGAACGCUAAUACCGCAUACGGUCAUAAGAGAGAAAACAGGGACCUAGGGCCUUGCGCUAUCAGAUGAAGCCUAGGUCGGAUUAGCUAGUUGGUGAGGUAAUAACUCACCAAGGAGACGAUCCAUAACUGGUCUGAGAGGAUGAUCAGUCACACUGGAACUGAGACGCGGUCCAGACUCCUACGGGAGGCAGCAGUGGGGAAUAUUGGACAAUGGGCGAAAGCCUGAUCCAGCCAUGCCGCGUGUGUGUAGAAGGUCUUCGGAUUGUAAAGCACUUUAAGUUGGGAGGAAGGGCAUUAACCUAAUACGUUAGUGUUUUGGCGUUACCGACAGAAUAAGCACCGGCUAACUAUGUGCCAGCAGCCGCGGUAAUACAGAGGGUGCAAGCGUUAAUCGGAAUUACUGGGCGUAAAGCGCGCGUAGGUGGUUUGUUAAGUUGGAUGUGAAAGCCCCGGGCUCAACCUGGGAACUGCAUCCAAAACUGGCAAGCUAGAGUACGGUAGAGGGUGGUGGAAUUUCCUGUGUAGCGGUGAAAUGCGUAGAUAUAGGAAGGAACACCAGUGGCGAAGGCGACCACCUGGACUGAUACUGACACUGAGGUGCGAAAGCGUGGGGAGCAAACAGGAUUGAGUACCCUGGUAGUCCACGCCGUAAACGAUGUCAACAAAAGGGUUGGAAUCCUUGAGAUUUUAGUGGCGCAGCUAACGCAUUAAGUGAAAGACAAAAGGAGGGCGGG